RNAcentral lists this long non-coding RNA (203 nucleotides) under Citrus sinensis (sweet orange). RNAcentral describes it as "long non-coding RNA (CSIN_LNC004258)". Lineage: Eukaryota; Viridiplantae; Streptophyta; Magnoliopsida; Sapindales; Rutaceae. The record is from RNAcentral.
UUUGAUUUAUUAGGAAUAAUAUCUAAGGUAUUAGAAAGUGUAUAUUACCAAAAAAAAACAAAAAAAACCAAAAUAAGAAAAAAAAGAAAAGAAAAAAAUGAUUUUAAUUUUGCUAUAUCUAGAACCCGAGUAAUUAAGUCCAUAGGGGUGCUUCAACACCUAGUGUCCUAAGAUCAACUAGUUUAGGAGUCACUGGCCUAAAG